This 1020-nucleotide ribosomal RNA is filed under the name Chaetosphaeronema hispidulum. RNAcentral's name for it is "SSU rRNA". It matches the Rfam family "Eukaryotic small subunit ribosomal RNA", at positions 75 to 1105 of the family's 1831-position model. Lineage: Eukaryota; Fungi; Ascomycota; Dothideomycetes; Pleosporales; Phaeosphaeriaceae. The record is from RNAcentral.
UAUACCGUGAAACUGCGAAUGGCUCAUUAAAUCAGUUAUCGUUUAUUUGAUAGUACCUUACUACUUGGAUAACCGUGGUAAUUCUAGAGCUAAUACAUGCUGAAAACCCCAACUUCGGAAGGGGUGUAUUUAUUAGAUAAAAAACCAACGCCCUUCGGGGCUUCUUGGUGAUUCAUAAUAACUUUACGGAUCGCAUGGCCUUGCGCCGGCGACGGUUCAUUCAAAUUUCUGCCCUAUCAACUUUCGAUGGUAAGGUAUUGGCUUACCAUGGUUUCAACGGGUAACGGGGAAUUAGGGUUCGAUUCCGGAGAGGGAGCCUGAGAAACGGCUACCACAUCCAAGGAAGGCAGCAGGCGCGCAAAUUACCCAAUCCCGACACGGGGAGGUAGUGACAAUAAAUACUGAUACAGGGCUCUUUUGGGUCUUGUAAUUGGAAUGAGUACAAUUUAAACCUCUUAACGAGGAACAAUUGGAGGGCAAGUCUGGUGCCAGCAGCCGCGGUAAUUCCAGCUCCAAUAGCGUAUAUUAAAGUUGUUGCAGUUAAAAAGCUCGUAGUUGAAACUUGGGUCUGGCUGGCAGGUCCGCCUCACCGCGUGUACUUGUCCGGCCGGGCCUUCCUUCUGGAGAACCUCAUGCCCUUCACUGGGCGUGUUGGGGACCAGGACUUUUACUUUGAAAAAAUUAGAGUGUUCAAAGCAGGCCUUUGCUCGAAUACGUUAGCAUGGAAUAAUAGAAUAGGACGUGCGUUCCUAUUUUGUUGGUUUCUAGGAACGCCGUAAUGAUUAAUAGGGACAGUCGGGGGCAUCAGUAUUCAAUUGUCAGAGGUGAAAUUCUUGGAUUUAUUGAAGACUAACUACUGCGAAAGCAUUUGCCAAGGAUGUUUUCAUUAAUCAGUGAACGAAAGUUAGGGGAUCGAAGACGAUCAGAUACCGUCGUAGUCUUAACCGUAAACUAUGCCGACUAGGGAUCGGGCGAUGUUCUUUUUCUGACUCGCUCGGCACCUUACGAGAAAUCAAAGUU